UUAAUUAUGCAUAGAACCCCGUUAUCAGAAAAUGGGUAGUUUCGUGUUCGUCGGAAAACGUAACGUACAGAAAGUUCCUAAAGUCGAACGUGAUCAAAAGGAUCCAUGUAUAGUUCGCCGGUAAGUUGAAGGAAGGCCCACGCGGUUAAGUAGCAGGAGACUACUGAUAGUAAGUACACUUUCGAUGUAGUAAAUGGCGGUUAUAAGUUUAUUUUUUUCCGUCGGAAAGCGGUAACGUACAAAAAGAUCUGUCUCAAUGUAUCAAAAGGAUCUUAUUAUAAAACUGGAUCAAAAGGAUCAUAGUAUAGAAAUUGAUGCUAGAAGCUCGCCGGUAAAAAGAACGAAAGCCCAUGUAGCCAAACUGUAGCAGGCUACGGAUGGUUGUUACAUUUUAGAUGUAGUAAAUUGCGGUUAUAUGUUUCCUUUUCCGUCGGAAAACGGUAACGUACAGAAAGAGAUAAAAGAAGCAAUUGAUCAAAAGGAUCAUAGAAUAGAAAUUUAUCAAAAAGGAAAAAAUCAUGAAAAAAAAAAAAAAAAAAAAAAAAAAAAAUUAAAAAUUUUGUUACCGGAAGUUUGUCGGUUAGUAGACUGAAAACCCACGUGACAUUUAUCAUGUUGUUAAUACGCCCGUUAAUACGUUUAUAGUCGUAUUUAAUAAGAAUGGGAGGCCUCGAUAUAUUUUAAAAUUAUUAUUUAUUUAUUUGUUCUACUUUCGAUAUUAGAGGGGCGUAUCAUGAUAUUGAUACAUUCACGAACGGUGUGGUUUGAGCUAUCAAGAGAAUAGCAGGCAGUGUUAGGUUGUUAUUAGCUUAUAUUUGGCACGAUAACAGCCGAUCGUAUUUUUACUAAAACUCGUUAAAACUAAAAUGAGGUGUACUAGCAUUCUUACGUCAAAUUGACUUAAAAUAGUUAUUUGCUUUUGUGAUGAUGGCAUACAUCACAGUGUAGAAUAUGAAAAAACAUUAUAUGCUAGUGACUAGACGAGUUUGGAUGUUAACUGGCUGAAGAAACAGUAUUUUGAUUCCUUCUCAGAGAGUAGAAUGGCUCGGGCAUGUGAUCAAUAUGCAUAAAAUGCAGUUUUUCAUAAUUAAAAAUUGAGUAGCUAGGCUAGAAAAAAGUAAUGAUUCGAUGAUCUAUCUAAUUUAUCAAACGAAAGAAAAAGUAGUACCAAAAGAUAAAUUAAUAGCUAGUCUUGUAGGGCAGAUAAUUUCCUUUCAGAGUGUGAUUGUAAAUAAAGUUUGUGAUAACAAUGCAUAUAUACAAUUGCAUAAAUACCAGAGCUAGUUGGAAAGCUCCCGUUAUUGUAACGUUGCAAGCUAUUUCCAAACUUAGAUUAUGGAAAUAAAGCACUAGGCAGUUAAUCAACGGUGGGAAAGAUUUCAAACACAAUCAGUUGUUUUUGUGUAAUAUAUUUGCUGAUGCAAGUACCACACGUUAUGGUUUAUGGAGGUUUUAUAGAAAGUUGUAGCUUUAAUGUAGAUAUAGGCGAAAUGACUGUCAAGCUAACGAUUUUCAUAAAAAUAAAAAAGCAAAUUAAUUUUCAAUUUGUUUUAUUCCAAUGACGAAGAGAGUAAAGGUAUGUACUCGUGGUCUUUGAGACCCUAAAAUGAGAAAAUUGGAGUGUACAUGAUCUUAAUAAAAAGAGCAACCUGUUCCCGGAAGUGAACAGAUUAUUGACGAAAAGAAAAAAGUUAUUCCUGGAAGUGAUUACUAUAUUACACUGUUAAAAUCAAGGAGGUACACUGCCAGUGUUUUUAUAAACGAAACAGGUAAUGCAUAUUGUGAUUUAAUAUGAAGUCAAUACAUUAAGCCACCGGAAGUUGGUUUUCAAGAUAAACCGGAUAAGUAUUCCGUCGUUUAAUAUGACGUAAGUAAAAUUUCUUAUGAUCAAGAAAAUGCCUUGCAUACGGCUAGAAAAGGUAUGUUUUUGCUCCAGGAAGUGAGCAGAAAGAGUUUGCUAUGGUCCCCGGAAGUGGACAUAGAGCCCAGUAGAUUGCUCCCGGAAGUGAGCAGAAUUUGUAGGCUAUGGUCCCCGGAAGUGGACACAGAGCCCAGUAGAUUGCUCCCGGAAGUGAGCAGAGAUGCUCCAUGAAGAGAGCAGAGAGUAUGCUAUGGUCCCCGGAUGUUAUGUUAUAUGAAAUGUUUUAAAUGCUUUGCAAAAUUCGUACAUCAAAGUGUAUUCAGACAAUAAAAUGUAAAAUCUAUAUUAUUGAAUGGUAGUCAUAAGAAAUAGCUUUAGAUUUAAAUAUGUAGUGUGGAUACUGGAUUCAAUGAAAAGAGGCAGUGGGUGCCUUAGUUCAAUAUGGGGAAACAAUGUAAACUGGUUAGUUCAGAAACUAGGUUGGUAUCAAUCUGUAUCAAUAAGAUGAUAUCGGAGAAAGCAAAAUGCAUCCUUGUUGUUCCAAAAAGGGGCAGUUCGCCUUAUUGGCUAAUGUUGAUUUGUCAUACGGACACAUUGUGAAAUAUUGCAAAAAGUUUGGUAGAGACUGUAUGAUUCCAGGUUGUUUUGGUAACACUAGAUUAUCAUUAAAUAAGAUAGCGUUAAGAUGCAUAUCACAAUACAGUUAUUGAUGUAUAGUACAUAUGUUUGACAGGAAAUGUUUUGAGAGGUACUCUGAAGGAGCGAUUAGAGGGCUCGGGCUUGCAUGGGCUUCGAAGAGAUUAGAUGGCGGACAGAAUGGCUAAGUAAAUACUUAGAACAAUCAAGAGCAGACAAUACGGUGAAGAAAAGAAUUCUUCAUGUGCACAUUUCAAAUACUGUGAAGAAAAUGUAGUCGCCAUGCCAGCCUUACAUAUAUCAGUAGUAAUGUACAUGGCUCAAUUGAUGGGUCGAGGAAAUCUAAUAACGUUUUUUACAUCUGUGUUUUACAGUAUUAAAUGGAUCCAUUCUAUUAAUAGUGUACAUGAUCCAAAGAAAGAUUUAACAAACUAUUAUAAGAAGCUUCAAAGCGUGUGUGUUUCAAACCAUCUCACAAGAAAGAUGUAUCAUGUACAUGUGCAUUCAUUAGAGAUGAUACAAA
Dreissena polymorpha is the source of this 3020-nucleotide long non-coding RNA. RefSeq lists it as uncharacterized. Lineage: Eukaryota; Metazoa; Mollusca; Bivalvia; Myida; Dreissenidae. The transcript has 2 exons. The record is from RefSeq and is a predicted model, not a curated record.